Molecule: unclassified non-coding RNA, 306 nt
Filed under: plant metagenome
Description: partial contains 5.8S ribosomal RNA, internal transcribed spacer 2, and large subunit ribosomal RNA
Rfam family: 5.8S ribosomal RNA (bases 1-104)
Source: RNAcentral
AAAUGCGAUAAGUAAUGUGCAUUGCAGAAUUCAGUGAAUCAUCGAAUCUUUGAACGCACAUUGUGCCCGCCAGCACUCUGGCGGGCAUGCCUGUUCGAGCGUCAUUUCAACCCUCAGAACCCCUUGCGGGAUCUGGCGUUGGGGAUUGGCAUCCAGCCAGCCCCGAAAUCUAGUGGCGGUCCCUCCGCGACCUCCCCUGUGCAGUAGCGAUACCUCGCAGCGGGACAGCGGUCUGACCACGCCGUAAAACCCCCAACUUCUCAAGGUUGACCUCGAAUCAGGUAGGAAUACCCGCUGAACUUAAGC